GUAGCUCAGUGGUAGAGCUUCCGACUGCAGAUCGGGAUGUCCCUGGUUCAAACCGGUGC
This 59-nucleotide transfer RNA is filed under the name Daphnia pulex (common water flea). It matches the Rfam family "tRNA", at positions 7 to 64 of the family's 71-position model. Rfam says of the family: Transfer RNA (tRNA) molecules are approximately 80 nucleotides in length. Their secondary structure includes four short double-helical elements and three loops (D, anti-codon, and T loops). The record is from Rfam by way of RNAcentral. Lineage: Eukaryota; Metazoa; Arthropoda; Branchiopoda; Diplostraca; Daphniidae.